CACCAGCGCCACAAGUGGGAAUCACAUUUAUUGGGCCUAAAGCGUUCGUAGCCGGCUUUGUAAAUCCUUUGUGAAAUCGCAGGGCUUAACCCUGCGGCGUGCAGAGGACACUGCAGAGCUUGGGACCGGGAGGAGCUAGAGGUAUUCCUUGGGGAGCGGUAAAAUGCUAUAAUCCAAGGAAGACCACCUGUGGCGAAGGCGUCUAGCUAGAACGGAUCCGACGGUGAGGGACGAAAGCUAGGGGA
Molecule: ribosomal RNA, 245 nt
Filed under: uncultured archaeon
Lineage: Archaea
Description: partial 16S ribosomal RNA
Rfam family: Archaeal small subunit ribosomal RNA
Source: RNAcentral